This 1169-nucleotide long non-coding RNA is filed under the name Corvus moneduloides (New Caledonian crow). Its description in RNAcentral is "lncRNA (ENSCMUG00000020001.1)". Lineage: Eukaryota; Metazoa; Chordata; Aves; Passeriformes; Corvidae. The record is from RNAcentral.
CUCACACCACGUCCCCAUCUAUUUGUUACACUCCCGGGCUGUUCAGGAGCUCGCUCCAGGCACUCUGCAGGGAUGAAGGUCUCCAGCUGAAUUGCUGCUUCCUCGGAGAGCUGAGGUUCUGACAGUUUUUCCUACUCGUCUCCUGAUCCCUUCCGAAGCAGGGAGCUCUACAACUGCUCCAGCCACAUUUUUUCCAAAGGAAUUAAUCCUUGCACAAUUUCAGGCACUUGCCAUCAUUGAAUAAACCAAGGCUCAGACAGCCAUAAUUUAUUAAGCAAACUACCUGGCACCAGCAGACAAACUCCAAGGCUCCGUUUUUCCAUUACCACUCGGAGGAGAAAGUGUCCAAGAGCACAAAGGAUCUUUUACACAACUUGCUCUACUGAUGUUUCCCAGAACUUGGAAUUUCCUACAUGUUUCAUUUUCAGUAAAGGUCACAUCUUACACAGAACCUCCCCAACAGAUGAUUUAAAACACAAGUAUCUGGCACCCAUAUUUGAAUGUACAACAAGAUUUGAGGUGAAACUCAUCCAGCUGAGUCUGUAAUGACACCAUUCCCCUUUUCCACAGGAUGGGAUAAUGGGAUAAUGCCUACCCAGCUUCAAAAGGAACAAAAAUCACUCAAACACAGACAUUAUUUAAGAUGACUGGGAAGAAUUAAAAGCCAAAACACUUCCAGGCACUAUUUCUCAUUUCAGGACCUAUCAUAGAUUUAAAGAUUAUCAUUUUUAGUCAAAAUAAAACCAGCAACGGUCCCAUGGAUGCACUUUUGAAAUCCAACAACACAAAACCAAGCGGAAUUCCUGAUUUAUUUUAGUGGGAGCAGAAGUUUACUACACGGAAAAUGAAUCAGCUGAAUAUCACCACGAGGACGCACUUAAUAACUCGAUUACACCCUCACUUCUCUAGAAUCUGGCUCUGACUGGGCUGAAGCCCUUCCCUCCUUUCCAAGUGUCCUGUAAAAUCACAAAGGGUUUUUUCCACACUAUCCAGUGCUGACUCUUGAGGUGCCCUGGCCUUUGGUUGAUUGGAAGGAGGCUCCAGAUUAGAAGAGAUUUAUUGAAAAGCCUGUUCAGCCCCUGCUUCGCUUGCAGCAUCCUCGAAAUCCAUGUCUGUAUCUCUUCCAUGGUGACUAAAUUUCUCCCCAAAGAGAGCUUGAUCCAUAAAAG